UGUAUAAUGGGUCAGCGACUUAUAUUCUGUAGCAAGGUUAACCGAAUAGGGGAGCCGAAGGGAAACCGAGUCUUAACUGGGCGUUAAGUUGCAGGGUAUAGACCCGAAACCCGGUGAUCUAGCCAUGGGCAGGUUGAAGGUUGGGUAACACUAACUGGAGGACCGAACCGACUAAUGUUGAAAAAUUAGCGGAUGACUUGUGGCUGGGGGUGAAAGGCCAAUCAAACCGGGAGAUAGCUGGUUCUCCCCGAAAGCUAUUUAGGUAGCGCCUCGUGAAUUCAUCUCCGGGGGUAGAGCACUGUUUCGGCAAGGGGGUCAUCCCGACUUACCAACCCGAUGCAAACUGCGAAUACCGGAGAAUGUUAUCACGGGAGACACACGGCGGGUGCUAACGUCCGUCGUGAAGAGGGAAACAACCCAGACCGCCAGCUAAGGUCCCAAAGUCAUGGUUAAGUGGGAAACGAUGUGGGAAGGCCCAGACAGCCAGGAUGUUGGCUUAGAAGCAGCCAUCAUUUAAAGAAAGCGUAAUAGCUCACUGGUCGAGUCGGCCUGCGCGGAAGAUGUAACGGGGCUAAACCAUGCACCGAAGCUGCGGCAGCGACACUGUGUGUUGUUGGGUAGGGGAGCGUUCUGUAAGCCUGUGAAGGUGUGCUGUGAGG
RNAcentral lists this ribosomal RNA (659 nucleotides) under Escherichia coli. RNAcentral describes it as "partial 23S ribosomal RNA". It matches the Rfam family "Bacterial large subunit ribosomal RNA", at positions 609 to 1268 of the family's 2925-position model. The record is from RNAcentral. Lineage: Bacteria; Pseudomonadati; Pseudomonadota; Gammaproteobacteria; Enterobacterales; Enterobacteriaceae.